AGGAAAUUAGUCCCAAAAUAAGACCUCUGAUUUCGGCUCAGAAAACUGCAGUUUAAAUCCGCAACUUCCUU
This 71-nucleotide transfer RNA is filed under the name Liobagrus obesus. Its description in RNAcentral is "tRNA-Arg". It matches the Rfam family "tRNA". Rfam says of the family: Transfer RNA (tRNA) molecules are approximately 80 nucleotides in length. The record is from RNAcentral. Lineage: Eukaryota; Metazoa; Chordata; Actinopteri; Siluriformes; Amblycipitidae.